RNAcentral lists this ribosomal RNA (246 nucleotides) under uncultured Psychrobacter sp. RNAcentral describes it as "partial 16S ribosomal RNA". It matches the Rfam family "Bacterial small subunit ribosomal RNA", at positions 796 to 1041 of the family's 1533-position model. The record is from RNAcentral. Lineage: Bacteria; Pseudomonadati; Pseudomonadota; Gammaproteobacteria; Moraxellales; Moraxellaceae.
CACGCCGUAAACGAUGUCUACUAGUCGUUGGGGAACUUGAUUCCUUAGUGACGCAGCUAACGCAAUAAGUAGACCGCCUGGGGAGUACGGCCGCAAGGUUAAAACUCAAAUGAAUUGACGGGGGCCCGCACAAGCGGUGGAGCAUGUGGUUUAAUUCGAUGCAACGCGAAGAACCUUACCUGGUCUUGACAUAUCUAGAAUCCUGCAGAGAUGCGGGAGUGCCUUCGGGAAUUAGAAUACAGGUGC